UGAAAUGUACCUAUAUUAUGGCUCACUUAUUUUAUGGUUAAAUUCAUUCAAUUCACACUUGAAACAUUUUCUUAAAUAGCUACUAUACACCAUCAAUUUAAUUUUAUAAAUAAAUUAAGUUGGUAAAGUUAACUUGGUCUCGUUUCACUAAUUUUACUGUAUAGGUAGGUAGUAGGUAUGUACAACUAAAAAAUACAAAUAUACAAUACUGUUAGACUAGUCUUUUACUCUACUCGGUUUAUUCCAUAAUUUCCAAUAAUAAGACAAUAACACAUGAGUAAUAAGUAAUUACUAAUAGGCGCGCCUUAUAUAAUUCUACCUAUUUUUUUUUUAUAGUCUAGUGUUGCAGUAUUGCACAGAUAUCAGACUUGUUAAUUUAAUUGUUGGUUAAUUGUAACUUUUGCCUACUUAGUAGGCUUAGACCAGGAGCUUCAUAAAUCCUAACGUAUUUCAUUAAUCAAUAUGUAGACUUGCCAGAUUAUUAAUAUUCCAAAUUUGUACAUCAAGCAAUAUGACUUAUGAAUAGGCAGUUGUUUGGACGAGGGAUAGCACAAUCUUCACAUCUCCAACCAUGGCCACAACUUUGGUACACAUACCGUUUGCCAUUGGGUACAUCUUCUCUAAAGGCCCUCAAACAACAAAGGCAGUUGCUGCCUGUUGGGUCCAAUAAACUGUUCAAAUUAUUCAUCCAUUGGCCUAUAAUCAAAGAGUGUUGGU
This is a long non-coding RNA of Acyrthosiphon pisum (pea aphid), 717 nucleotides long. RefSeq lists it as uncharacterized. The transcript is spliced from 3 exons. NCBI's taxonomy places the organism in Eukaryota, Metazoa, Arthropoda, Insecta, Hemiptera, Aphididae. The record is from RefSeq and is a predicted model, not a curated record.